GGGGAGGAGGAGGAGGAUUAGAGCGGCUUAAGCCGGGCAGAGCAGGAGGGAGGGGGCCGGGGGUAAAGCCACCGCCUCCAGCCGGCGGAUUUCCAGGCGGCAGCCCCUAAUCCCGGAGGAGGGCGGCGAAGCGGGGCAGGGAUGGGGGUGAGGAAAGGGCGGGGGUGGGGGGUGGGGGGGGAUGGCCAACGGCCGCUCCCUAACGGCCGCCAACGGCUGUCAGCGCCCGAGAACGUGCGGCCGCCACCGCCGCCGUCCGAAUCGCCCCGCCACUGCCUCGGCCCCGCCCCCCGGCCCCCCCACCCCAGCCAAUCGGCGGCGGCGGAGCGGCGGCGCCUCUUCGCGGUUGGGUGGCCUCCUGCCAAUCGCCUGUGAACGGGCUGGCGCGGGGUGGUAGUGGCCGCACCUGGUAACGCCCACCCCCACGCACCCACCCCCAGCCGGACUACGUGUCCCAGGGAGCACUGCGGCACGUUCCCGCGCAGGGAAGCGGUGGCCGCGCGGCGAAAUGCAUGACGGGAGCUGUAGUCCCGAGGAGCCUGAGGGGGACAUGGCGCGGGGUUGGGGGCGGCGGGGAGGGCCCGGGUCAGUGGGGUGUCGAAGUACUUUUUGUAUUAUUUUGGUGUGGUUUAAUUUUGGCCCUAAUAAGUUUUAUCCCGCUACGUAAAGCGAGGGAAGCAGUGGUUUGUGGCGCUUGGCCCAGACAGGGUGGUUCCCUCAGCGGGUGAAGGGUGUCUGCGUGGAGAGAUAAAUGCGAAUAAACGAUAUAUUUGUGCACGUACAGAAUGGUGUAUGUUUGUCUGACACGUUUGUUGGUACGGGCUCUUCAAAAGCCGAGUAACGCAAGGGAGAGAUUGGCCCUACAGAAAACAGCAGCAGUAUUUGCACUGACCAGGAUUUGGGGUUCCCCUGACUGCUUCAGGACAGGAUUUGGGGUUCCCCUGACUGCUUCAGGACGGGAUUUGGGGUUCACGAUGGGCCCAGGAGCUGUAAACUGCCGGCAAGGCCAACACAAAGUACAGAGGGAGCUGUGCCUGCAUUCUUUGUUUAUUGAAGUUUUUUUUGUUGUUGUUGUUUGUUUGUUUGUUUUUGUAACAGAUGGACCUCCAAGAUUCUGCAUUUUAUGGGGAAAAACACAAGUGCUUGACAGAACAAAUACACUCUUCCAAUUGCUUUGUUGGUCAAGAUUAAUCAUAACUGAGGAGAACAUGUGA
RNAcentral lists this long non-coding RNA (1214 nucleotides) under Anser brachyrhynchus (Pink-footed goose). RNAcentral describes it as "lncRNA (ENSABRG00000011473.1)". The record is from RNAcentral. Lineage: Eukaryota; Metazoa; Chordata; Aves; Anseriformes; Anatidae.